This 355-nucleotide ribosomal RNA is filed under the name uncultured bacterium. RNAcentral describes it as "bacterial SSU rRNA". It matches the Rfam family "Bacterial small subunit ribosomal RNA", at positions 8 to 350 of the family's 1533-position model. The record is from RNAcentral.
AGAGUUUGAUCCUGGCUCAGGAUGAACGCUAGCUACAGGCUUAACACAUGCAAGUCGAGGGGAAACGACAUCGAAAGCUUGCUUUUGAUGGGCGUCGACCGGCGCACGGGUGAGUAACGCGUAUCCAACCUGCCCAUCACUUGGGGAUAACCUUGCGAAAGUAAGACUAAUACCCAAUGACGUCUCUAGAAGACAUCUGAAAGAGAUUAAAGAUUUAUCGGUGAUGGAUGGGGAUGCGUCUGAUUAGCUUGGUUGGCGGGGUAACGGCCCACCAAGGCGACGAUCAGGUAGGGGUUCUGAGAGGAAGGUCCCCCANAUUGGAACUGAGACACGGUCCAAACUCCUACGGGAAGCA